CCUACGGGAGGCAGCAGUGGGGAAUAUUGCGCAAUGGGCGAAAGCCUGACGCAGCGACGCCGCGUGAGGGAUGAAGGUCUUCGGAUCGUAAACCUCUGUCAGCAGGGAAGGACGGUCACUGUGCUAAUCAGCAGUGAAUUGACGGUACCUGCAAAGGAAGCACCGGCUAACUCCGUGCCAGCAGCCGCGGUAAUACGGAGGUUGCGUGCGUUAAUCGGAAUUACUGGUCGUAAAGCUCUCGUAGGCGGUAUGUCAAGUCAAGGGUGAAAUCCCCGCUCUCAAGGUGGGAACUGCCUUUGAAACUGGCAAACUGGAGUGUGUGAGAGGAUAGUGGAAUUCCAGGGGUAGGAGUGAAAGCCGUAGAUAUCUGGAGGAACAACAGUGGCGAAGGCGACUAUCUGGCACAUAACUGACGCUGAGGAGCGAAAGCGUGGGUAGCAAACAGGAUUAGAUACCCCAGUAGUC
This 465-nucleotide ribosomal RNA is filed under the name uncultured bacterium. RNAcentral describes it as "partial 16S ribosomal RNA". It matches the Rfam family "Bacterial small subunit ribosomal RNA", at positions 338 to 795 of the family's 1533-position model. The record is from RNAcentral.